AAACCUGGCUCAGGUAAAACUAUAAAUUGUACUUUAUUCCUUGCAGAAGACAAUCAAAACAAAAAAUGUGGAGAGAAAACCAUCGGUGAUGAAACCUUGACAGCACAUCAUUCAUGGCAGCUCCUUCAACUGUCUAUAGAGGCUCGUUACUGAGAGCACUAAGGAUGCUUGUACCACAUUUCUCUCUCCGGGGAACCGUCCACUGACACCUAUCUUACAACAAAGAUGCAACAGUGGUUCUUAACAUUUGUUGAAUCACAGAGCCUUCUGAGGUUAGUCACCUCAAAAUAAUGUUCUACAGUCUCCUGAAGUCCAUCCAUGGACCGUGAGUCAGAAUCCCAGAGGAGGACCAUCUGAAUGGCAGGCUUAAGCCUGAGGUGCAAAGAGUUAAUGGAUGACAACCAAGAAGUACCAUAGGAUCUACAACGCAGUUUGGCGAUGGCAGAGAUCUGACACAAGAACUAAGGAAAGACCCCAGGUCAUCUGAGUCAUUUGAAAGCUGUAUCAUGCCUCAAAUUCCUGAGGCAUAGGACUUUGAUCCAUAUGGACUUCUCCACCAAGAUCCAUCUGCCCCACUCCAAAUCAGGCAACCUAAUAUACCUCAAAGAACCUUAACCACCACUUUUUAAGGGACAAUCUUUAUCCUUCCUCCCUUAUUUUUUCUAAUCCCUACUCUGCUUUGUGAUUUCUAUGAUAAUGAAAGAAAAAAAGGAAUUCAGAUAAAUCAAA
This 729-nucleotide long non-coding RNA is filed under the name Suricata suricatta (meerkat). RNAcentral describes it as "lncRNA (ENSSSUG00005004475.1)". The record is from RNAcentral. Lineage: Eukaryota; Metazoa; Chordata; Mammalia; Carnivora; Herpestidae.